RNAcentral lists this ribosomal RNA (386 nucleotides) under uncultured Legionella sp. Its description in RNAcentral is "bacterial SSU rRNA". It matches the Rfam family "Bacterial small subunit ribosomal RNA", at positions 441 to 826 of the family's 1533-position model. Lineage: Bacteria; Pseudomonadati; Pseudomonadota; Gammaproteobacteria; Legionellales; Legionellaceae. The record is from RNAcentral.
AGGGUUGAUAGGUUAAGAGCUGGUUGACUGGACGUUACCCACAGAAGAAGCACCGGCUAACUCCGUGCCAGCAGCCGCGGUAAUACGGAGGGUGCGAGCGUUAAUCGGAAUUACUGGGCGUAAAGGGUGCGUAGGUGGUUUGAUAAGUUAUCUGUGAAAGCCCUGGGCUCAACCUGGGAACUGCAGAUAAGACUGUUGGACUCGAGUAUAGGAGAGGGUAGUGGAAUUUCCGGUGUAGCGGUGAAAUGCGUAGAGAUCGGAAGGAACACCAGUGGCGAAGGCGGCUACCUGGCCUAAUACUGACACUGAGGCACGAAAGCGUGGGGAGCAAACAGGAUUAGAUACCCUGGUAGUCCACGCUGUAAACGAUGUCAACUAGCUGUUGG